GCGUAGCAAUGCACACAAGGCAUUAUGCAAUUAUAUGAAAAAAUAAAACUAUUGUCAAAAGCCCACAGCACAUGCAAGCGGUUUCAUGUGACGAGAUAAAAUAUCCAUUCAAAAUUUAGAAAUAGGGGAGAUCUAAUCUGCAACAACUGGCAUGGGUUGAUAAAAAUGACUAGGAUUAUGCCUUUGGCUACUGGCGAAUUAAAGAUGGUCUGAUUUUGACUAGGCUACGAGCAAGAUGGUGACCACCGACGUGAUCUGGUAAAGGACAUCGCUGGACAUUGGUGUGCCAGCCGAUUGGCCAGUACUGUCGUCGGACGGUGUGUCUCACAAAUCCUGACCGGUCAACUAAAAGAGUUUGUGUAUUUGCAUGUGUUUAUUUCAGGAAAUGGCUUCCUGAAAUCCCUCAAGCAGCUGAUUGGUCGACUCCAUGGCUAAUUGGAGAGCUGACCCCGCCCCCUCGUCAAGACACAGCUGUCUCCAAUUACCCAUUCAAUCUGAACCUAUAUAAAAGCCAGUGUUCUGUUCAGGAGAGAGAGAUUUGCUGGGAGGUCAUUGGAGAGAUUUUGCUAGAGAGAUUUGCUGGGAGGUCAUUGCUGGGAGGUCAUUGCAGAGAUUUUGCUAGAGAGAUUUGCUGGGAUGUCAUUGAAGAGAUUUUGCUAGAGGUUGAUUUUGCUGGGAGUUCAUUGCUGAGAGUUGGUAUGUUUUGUGAGUUUGCUCAGAUAGAGCUUAUUUGAUGUCCUUUGUUUCUUAGUUUGUGAAAUUGUUUAAUAUUCUGUUUCAUUUGUUCCCAGGGGAGAAGGGGAAGGCACCUAGGGAGUGCUUAGGCAAGAGUCCCGCGGGCAUACAUAUACCCGUAGCACAUUCGCUGUCUAGGCACACUAGGUAAGACCUGGGCGGACCACCCCUGUAUUUGUUAGGGAACUAGGUGGUGCUAAAUUAGGUAAGUAGUGGGUAGGCAGGUAAGAUAGGAGAGGGGCGCUUUGAGAUGUACUUUCUUUGCUUUGGUUCGG
This is a long non-coding RNA of Oncorhynchus keta (chum salmon), 1010 nucleotides long. RefSeq lists it as uncharacterized. The transcript is spliced from 3 exons. NCBI's taxonomy places the organism in Eukaryota, Metazoa, Chordata, Actinopteri, Salmoniformes, Salmonidae. The record is from RefSeq and is a predicted model, not a curated record.